GGACUACAGGGGUUUCUAAUCCUGUUCGCUCCCCACGCUUUCGAGACUCAGCGUCAGUUUCAGUCCAGUUAGCCGCCUUCGCCACUGGUGUUCUUCCUUAUAUCUACGCAUUUCACCGCUACACAAGGAAUUCCGCUAACCUCUCCUGUACUCUAGUUACACAGUUUCUCAUGCCAUUCCCGGGUUAAGCCCGGGGAUUUCACAUGUGACUUAUAUAACCGCCUACUCUCCCUUUACACCCAGUAAUUCCGGAUAACGCUUGCCCCCUACGUUUUACCGCGGCUGCUGGCAC
This 292-nucleotide ribosomal RNA is filed under the name uncultured bacterium. Its description in RNAcentral is "partial 16S ribosomal RNA". The record is from RNAcentral.